AACUUCUGAAUGUUGACCUCGGAUCAGGUAGGAAUACCCGCUGAACUUAAGCAUAUCAAUAAGCGGAGGAAAAG
This 74-nucleotide ribosomal RNA is filed under the name Fusarium sp. AL-19 IRH-2012f. RNAcentral describes it as "partial 28S ribosomal RNA". The stretch from base 14 to 74 matches the Rfam family "Eukaryotic large subunit ribosomal RNA", at positions 1 to 61 of the family's 3401-position model. Lineage: Eukaryota; Fungi; Ascomycota; Sordariomycetes; Hypocreales; Nectriaceae. The record is from RNAcentral.